UGGGGAAUAUUGGACAAUGGGCGCAAGCCUGAUCCAGCAAUGCCGCGUGUGUGAAGAAGGUCUUCGGAUUGUAAAGCACUUUCGGCGGGGACGAUGAUGACGGUACCCGCAGAAGAAGCCCCGGCUAACUUCGUGCCAGCAGCCGCGGUAAUACGAAGGGGGCGAGCGUUGCUCGGAAUGACUGGGCGUAAAGGGCGCGUAGGUGGUGAUGACAGUCAGGCGUGAAAUUCCUGGGCUCAACCUGGGGGCUGCGCUUGAUACGUGAUGACUAGAGUGUGGAAGAGGGUCGUGGAAUUCCCAGUGUAGAGGUGAAAUUCGUAGAUAUUGGGAAGAACACCGGUGGCGAAGGCGGCGACCUGGUCCAUUACUGACGCUGAGGCGCGAAAGCGUGGGGAGCAAACA
RNAcentral lists this ribosomal RNA (402 nucleotides) under uncultured bacterium. RNAcentral's name for it is "bacterial SSU rRNA". It matches the Rfam family "Bacterial small subunit ribosomal RNA", at positions 355 to 774 of the family's 1533-position model. The record is from RNAcentral.